RNAcentral lists this ribosomal RNA (254 nucleotides) under uncultured bacterium. Its description in RNAcentral is "partial 16S ribosomal RNA". It matches the Rfam family "Bacterial small subunit ribosomal RNA", at positions 524 to 776 of the family's 1533-position model. The record is from RNAcentral.
UACGGGGGGAGCAAGCGUUGUUCGGAUUUACUGGGCGUAAAGGGCGCGUAGGCGGCCUGUGCAAGUCAGUUGGGAAAUCUCCGGGCUUAACCCGGAAAGGUCAGCCGAUACUGCGGGGCUAGAGUGCAGAAGGGGCAACUGGAAUUCUCGGUGUAGCGGUGAAAUGCGUAGAUAUCGAGAGGAACACCUGCGGCGAAGGCGGGUUGCUGGGCUGACACUGACGCUGAGGCGCGAAAGCUAGGGGAGCGAACGGG